AGUAGGGAACUAAAUGAUCCGGAAGUUUUCGGCUACAUUAAAAUAUAGGUGAAGUACCCAAAAAUUUGUGUUCGAUAUUUUGUGUCGAGGUUGCGUGCGAAGAAGCAAAACCCCUUGUAAGGGAGUGACUUGAGGAUCAGCUUCAGCUUUCUGAGACAUAAUGACAAAUAACAAAUGGGUUUGAUAUAGGAGCAGUUUUACUUACAUCACAUGUUUAGCUUUCCAUUUGUGGUCCUCUUUUUUCUCCAAUCUCUAAGCAAAUCCUACACAUGUCUUGAAAAACUUGUAAACCAUGGACCCCAUUAAGGAUUCAGUUGUAUCUUCCUUAAUUG
Molecule: long non-coding RNA, 332 nt
Filed under: Brassica napus (rape)
Lineage: Eukaryota; Viridiplantae; Streptophyta; Magnoliopsida; Brassicales; Brassicaceae
Description: long non-coding RNA (BNAP_LNC020886)
Source: RNAcentral